UACGUAGGUGGCAAGCGUUGUCCGGAAUUAUUGGGCGUAAAGCGCUCGCAGGCGGUCCUUUAAGUCUGAUGUGAAAGCCCACGGCUCAACCGUGGAGGGUCAUCGGAAACUGGGGGACUUGAGUGCAGAAGAGGAGAGUGGAAUUCCACGUGUAGCGGUGAAAUGCGUAGAGAUGUGCAGGAGCACCAGUGGCGAAGGCGACUCUCUGGUCUGUAACUGACGCUGAGGAGCGAAAGCGUGGGGAGUGAACAGG
Molecule: unclassified non-coding RNA, 253 nt
Filed under: uncultured Bacillaceae bacterium
Lineage: Bacteria; Bacillati; Bacillota; Bacilli; Caryophanales; Bacillaceae
Description: contains 16S-23S intergenic spacer region
Rfam family: Bacterial small subunit ribosomal RNA
Source: RNAcentral